This 253-nucleotide ribosomal RNA is filed under the name uncultured bacterium. RNAcentral's name for it is "partial 16S ribosomal RNA". It matches the Rfam family "Bacterial small subunit ribosomal RNA", at positions 524 to 776 of the family's 1533-position model. The record is from RNAcentral.
GACAGAGGUCUCAAGCGUUAGGCGGAAUCACUGGGCUUAAAGCGUGUGUAGGCGGAUUCCUAAGUACCUUGUGAAAUCCCCGGGCUUAACCCGGGAGCUGCUUGGUAUACUGGGUGUCUUGAGCCAACUAGGGGCGACCGGAACAAACGGUGGAGCGGUGAAAUGCGUAGAUAUCGUUUGGAACGCCAAUGGUGAAAACAGGUCGCUGGGGUUGUGCUGACGCUGAGAGACGAAAGCUAGGGGAGCGAAUGGG